This is a non-coding RNA of Pelobates cultripes (western spadefoot toad), 537 nucleotides long. The record is from the annotation of a GenBank genome assembly. Lineage: Eukaryota; Metazoa; Chordata; Amphibia; Anura; Pelobatidae.
AUAAACAAUGCCAUAAACGUUUUACAGCCAAAUUACAAGCAAUUAGUAAGGUGGCAUAGUAAUCCAUGCCUAUCAAAUAUUGUAGGCAAGAUGCCGGUUUUUCAGCAGUCAUAACAAACUUCCAAGACAUUGUCAGAAUGUCUUGGAAGAAGAUCUCAUAUUCUAUGUGGAGUCCUUCCCAGGAAUUGACCACAUAACUCAAUGUAAACACAUUCACAAUUACCUUUGAUUGAUUUGCUCUGAAUGAUUGUCUCAUGGGUGGUUAAAACAUUCUAGAGAUAUUUAUUUAUUUUACCUGUCCCAGAAUAACAACUUUUAUUUCCCCUCAAUCUCCAUAUUAUUAUUUGUAAACUAAAUGGUUUCUGCCACCAUUAACUUGGAACUAUUUGACCCUCCAUUCUUGUCUCUACAAAAACAAUGCAGGGACAUCUCCCAAAAGAAGGACAACAUGUAUAUUACAGAACUACUUUAAAAAUCAUUGCUAACCUGUAGGGUGUGUUUUGUGUAUGUUUCCCCCAUUAAAGGACCUAAAUACCG